RNAcentral lists this long non-coding RNA (778 nucleotides) under Marmota monax (woodchuck). Lineage: Eukaryota; Metazoa; Chordata; Mammalia; Rodentia; Sciuridae. The record is from RNAcentral.
GUAGGUGCUGCUCCACGGCCACCACGGCAGGCGUGGGGCCCACCUGGCUGUCACUGACCUUUGGUGUGGCCCCAUGAGGCCUGCUGUCCCCUAGCACCUCCCCUCAGCCCCCAGCUGAGAAACAGGAACAGGCUGUCAGGACGACACACCCCCUUCCCUGGACACUGGGCUGCCCUUGGGCCCGGAGCCACCAGGAGGCCCUCAGGCUGUUCUCUCCCCUUGAGGGAUGCCUUCAGCCCCCGGGGGCCACAAGCUGCCCCGCCCUGUGGUGACGCCUUGGAGUGCAGUCCUUGUACCAGUGGCCAGCAGCCCCACCGCCCUCUGGACACCAAGUUCGGGGCCCACCCGGCUGCCAGAGCAGGAACCCCACCAAGCGCCAGGGGUGCCGAGGGGCACCGCAGGCUGAGGAUCACGCCUGGUCUGUGGUGGGGAACGGGCCUGCAGCAGAGUCUUUUGUCCCCCCAGGCCCAGGCCCAGGCCCACAGCAGCCACCCUAGGGCCUCUCUGCAGAGGAGCCUGCUGUCACCCACCGUGGGGGGCGGAACUGCAGCUUGGGCUCUUGGCAGCCGCACUCUGCAGAACCCUGUGGCCCAGGAAAUGGUGCCGGGCAGGUCAGGCUCCAGUCUCCAUUGACCUGAAACCCCCCGCCCCACUGCAGAGACGCAGAAAUGGGUGAUGUGAGGGGAUGGGGGCCCCCUGUGGCUCAGCGGCAGGGCACUUGCCUGGCCCGUGCAGAGCCCUGGCUGCCAGCCCCCGCACUGUGCCCAGAAGAAAAAAA